This 2915-nucleotide ribosomal RNA is filed under the name Campylobacter coli. RNAcentral's name for it is "23S ribosomal RNA". It matches the Rfam family "Bacterial large subunit ribosomal RNA". Lineage: Bacteria; Pseudomonadati; Campylobacterota; Epsilonproteobacteria; Campylobacterales; Campylobacteraceae. The record is from RNAcentral.
GUAAGCUACUAAGAGCGAAUGGUGGAUGCCUUGACUGGUAAAGGCGAUGAAGGACGUACUAGACUGCGAUAAGCUACGGGGAGCUGUCAAGAAGCUUUGAUCCGUAGAUUUCCGAAUGGGGCAACCCAAUGUAUAGAGAUAUACAUUACCUAUAUAGGAGCGAACGAGGGGAAUUGAAACAUCUUAGUACCCUCAGGAAAAGAAAUCAAUAGAGAUUGCGUCAGUAGCGGCGAGCGAAAGCGCAAGAGGGCAAACCCAGUGCUUGCACUGGGGGUUGUAGGACUGCAAUGUGCAAGAGGUGAGUUUAGCAGAACAUUCUGGAAAGUAUAGCCAUAGAGGGUGAUAGUCCCGUAUGCGAAAAACAAACCUUAGCUAGCAGUAUCCUGAGUAGGGCGGGACACGAGAAAUCCUGUCUGAAGCUGGGUCGACCACGAUCCAACCCUAAAUACUAAUACCAGAUCGAUAGUGCACAAGUACCGUGAGGGAAAGGUGAAAAGAACUGAGGUGAUCAGAGUGAAAUAGAACCUGAAACCAUUUGCUUACAAUCAUUCAGAGCACUAUGUAGCAAUACAGUGUGAUGGACUGCCUUUUGCAUAAUGAGCCUGCGAGUUGUGGUGUCUGGCAAGGUUAAGCAAACGCGAAGCCGUAGCGAAAGCGAGUCUGAAUAGGGCGCUUAGUCAGAUGCUGCAGACCCGAAACGAAGUGAUCUAUCCAUGAGCAAGUUGAAGCUAGUGUAAGAACUAGUGGAGGACUGAACCCAUAGGCGUUGAAAAGCCCCGGGAUGACUUGUGGAUAGGGGUGAAAGGCCAAUCAAACUUCGUGAUAGCUGGUUCUCUCCGAAAUAUAUUUAGGUAUAGCGUUGUGUCGUAAUAUAAGGGGGUAGAGCACUGAAUGGGCUAGGGCAUACACCAAUGUACCAAACCCUAUCAAACUCCGAAUACCUUAUAUGUAAUCACAGCAGUCAGGCGGCGAGUGAUAAAAUCCGUCGUCAAGAGGGAAACAACCCAGACUACCAGCUAAGGUCCCUAAAUCUUACUUAAGUGGAAAACGAUGUGAAGUUACUUAAACAACCAGGAGGUUGGCUUAGAAGCAGCCAUCCUUUAAAGAAAGCGUAAUAGCUCACUGGUCUAGUGAUUUUGCGCGGAAAAUAUAACGGGGCUAAAGUAAGUACCGAAGCUGUAGACUUGAUUUUAUCAAGUGGUAGGAGAGCGUUCUAUUUGCGCCGAAGGUAUACCGGUAAGGAGUGCUGGAGCGAAUAGAAGUGAGCAUGCAGGCAUGAGUAGCGAUAAUUAAUGUGAGAAUCAUUAACGCCGUAAACCCAAGGUUUCCUACGCGAUGCUCGUCAUCGUAGGGUUAGUCGGGUCCUAAGUCGAGUCCGAAAGGGGUAGACGAUGGCAAAUUGGUUAAUAUUCCAAUACCAACAUUAGUGUGCGAUGGAAGGACGCUUAGGGCUAAGGGGGCUAGCGGAUGGAAGUGCUAGUCUAAGGUCGUAGGAGGUUAUACAGGCAAAUCCGUAUAACAUACUCCGAGAACUGAAAGGCUUUUUGAAGUCUUCGGAUGGAUAGAAGAACCCCUGAUGCCGUCGAGCCAAGAAAAGUUUCUAAGUUUAGCUAAUGUUGCCCGUACCGUAAACCGACACAGGUGGGUGGGAUGAGUAUUCUAAGGCGCGUGGAAGAACUCUCUUUAAGGAACUCUGCAAAAUAGCACCGUAUCUUCGGUAUAAGGUGUGGUUCGCUUCGUAUUAGGAUUUACUCCGAAAGCGAAGAAACUUACAACAAAGAGUCCCUCCCGACUGUUUACCAAAAACACAGCACUCUGCUAACUCGUAAGAGGAUGUAUAGGGUGUGACGCCUGCCCGGUGCUCGAAGGUUAAUUGAUGGGGUUAGCAUUAGCGAAGCUCUUGAUCGAAGCCCGAGUAAACGGCGGCCGUAACUAUAACGGUCCUAAGGUAGCGAAAUUCCUUGUCGGUUAAAUACCGACCUGCAUGAAUGGCGUAACGAGAUGGGAGCUGUCUCAAAGAGGGAUCCAGUGAAAUUGUAGUGGAGGUGAAAAUUCCUCCUACCCGCGGCAAGACGGAGAGACCCCGUGGACCUUUACUAUAGCUUGACACUGCUAUUUGGAUAAAGAUGUGCAGGAUAGGUGGGAGGCUUUGAAGCUAGGACGCCAGUUCUAGCAGAGCCAUUGUUGAGAUACCACUCUUCUUUAUUUGGGUAGCUAACCAGCUUGAGUUAUCCUCAAGUGGGACAAUGUCUGGUGGGUAGUUUGACUGGGGCGGUCGCCUCCCAAAUAAUAACGGAGGCUUACAAAGGUUGGCUCAGAACGGUUGGAAAUCGUUCGUAGAGUAUAAAGGUAUAAGCCAGCUUAACUGCAAGACAUACAAGUCAAGCAGAGACGAAAGUCGGUCUUAGUGAUCCGGUGGUUCUGUGUGGAAGGGCCAUCGCUCAAAGGAUAAAAGGUACCCCGGGGAUAACAGGCUGAUCUCCCCCAAGAGCUCACAUCGACGGGGAGGUUUGGCACCUCGAUGUCGGCUCAUCGCAUCCUGGGGCUGGAGCAGGUCCCAAGGGUAUGGCUGUUCGCCAUUUAAAGCGGUACGCGAGCUGGGUUCAGAACGUCGUGAGACAGUUCGGUCCCUAUCUGCCGUGGGCGUAAGAAGAUUGAAGAGAUUUGACCCUAGUACGAGAGGACCGGGUUGAACAAACCACUGGUGUAGCUGUUGUUCUGCCAAGAGCAUCGCAGCGUAGCUAAGUUUGGAAAGGAUAAACGCUGAAAGCAUCUAAGCGUGAAGCCAACUCUAAGAUGAAUCUUCUCUAAGCUCUCUAGAAGACUACUAGUUUGAUAGGCUGGGUGUGUAAUGGAUGAAAGUCCUUUAGCUGACCAGUACUAAUAGAGCGUUUGGCUUAUCUUUAAUAAAGCAU